AAAUUAGAAAGAAAUUUGUAUUUAACAGUGAUAUAUAUGAGAGAAUUAAAAGGAUAUUAUAUAAAUUUUUACAAAAAAUCAAUAGAAAGAAAGAAGAUGAAGUUAAAAAGUGUACAGUAGCCUAGUGCACAAAAAUAAAAUCAUAGGUCACCAAAUUGAUACAUUUAAAACCACAUGAUAUUAAAACUAAAAAGUGCGAAACUAUAGGAAUGGUAUUUGAAGUUUUUUCAUAAUUUUUUUGGCAGGUAAGCUGCCUCAGCGAUAUCUGCAUGUGGGCUAGAUC
RNAcentral lists this long non-coding RNA (283 nucleotides) under Ananas comosus (pineapple). RNAcentral's name for it is "long non-coding RNA (ACOM_LNC007560)". The record is from RNAcentral. Lineage: Eukaryota; Viridiplantae; Streptophyta; Magnoliopsida; Poales; Bromeliaceae.